RNAcentral lists this ribosomal RNA (592 nucleotides) under Wolbachia endosymbiont of Bemisia tabaci. Its description in RNAcentral is "bacterial SSU rRNA". It matches the Rfam family "Bacterial small subunit ribosomal RNA", at positions 220 to 829 of the family's 1533-position model. The record is from RNAcentral. Lineage: Bacteria; Pseudomonadati; Pseudomonadota; Alphaproteobacteria; Rickettsiales; Anaplasmataceae.
AUUAGAUAAGCCUAUAUUAGAUUAGCUAGUUGGUAAGGUAAUGGCUUACCAAGGCAGUGAUCUAUAGCUGAUCUGAGAGGAUGAUCAGCCACACUGGAACUGAGAUACGGUCCAGACUCCUACGGGAGGCAGCGGUGGGGAAUAUUGGACAAUGGGCGAAAGCCUGAUCCAGCCAUGCCGCAUGAGUGAAGAAGGCCUUCGGGUUGUAAAGCUCUUUUAGUGAGGAAGAUAAUGACGGUACUCACAGAAGAAGUCCUGGCUAACUCCGUGCCAGCAGCCGCGGUAAUACGGAGAGGGCUAGCGUUAUUCGGAAUUAUUGGGCGUAAAGAGCGCGUAGACUGAUUAGUAAGUUAAAAGUGAAAUCCCAAAGCUCAACUUCGGAAUUGCUUUUAAAACUGCUAAUCUAGAGAUUGAAAGAGGAUAGAGGAAUUCCUAGUGUAGAGGUGAAAUUCGUAAAUACUAGGAGGAACACCAGUGGCGAAGGCGUCUAUCUGGUUCAAAUCUAACGCUGAUGCGCGAAGGCGUGGGGAGCAAACAGGAUUAGAUACCCUGGUAGUCCACGCUGUCAACGAUGAAUGCUAAAUAUGGGAAG